CUCCAGUUUAAUAUGAAAUCUACAACACUUGUCAAUCAUAUUGCAUGACUGUGUCUAAAAAUAACAUGUGGGCGUCCCACGGUCUAGAUAGGUUUUGUGUCAGGCCCUAUUUAAAAUUAGAGCCUGAACUUCAGGUUAUAAACAGUGAGACACGAAUUUCUAAAUUUCACCGCGCCCGCUGGAAAUACGAGUCUGCUGUAUUGCGAGACACCCAACAGCUAAAUCAUUCUAUAUUAACCAUUCGAGAAUAGCGAGAUGCAGUGUUCCUUGGUCAGCCCCUCCCCUUCCAUGUACGUCUAUAUGAAGAGUAGUGUUGAAUACGUAUUGAAUACAUUAUACAAGAUAAAGUAUAUAUUAAAAUACAACAAAUUUAAAUAAUCCACAAUCCUUACUAUAUAUAC
Molecule: non-coding RNA, 401 nt
Organism: Paramuricea clavata
Lineage: Eukaryota; Metazoa; Cnidaria; Anthozoa; Malacalcyonacea; Plexauridae
Source: the annotation of a GenBank genome assembly